Molecule: long non-coding RNA, 1024 nt
Filed under: Homo sapiens (human)
Lineage: Eukaryota; Metazoa; Chordata; Mammalia; Primates; Hominidae
Description: HSALNT0371247
Source: RNAcentral
CCUGCGGCCAUGCUGGGCUAGGACAAGAGGCAGAGGCAGAGAGACAGAGAGGAGCCACCCUAAGAAGAGAGACCAGAUACCCUUUUCUCAUCCUUUGAGUUCAACAGAUGUCUCUUCUGGUUGCAAGUGACAGAAGCCCACACAGAAAAGGCUCAGACCAAAGAGAAAUUUAUGGGCUCCUGAAACCGUAUGUCAGAGAGAGAUUGGGCCAGGGCUGGGAUGUGACCCCGGCUCUUUCUUGGUUUCUCCUCGCCGCUUCUCUCUCUCCUGCAGCCUCACAGUCUCAGACAGGAUUCUUUCAAGAAUUGCAAACUUGGCUGAAGACCUUCCUGUCCCCUUUCUUACCUCCCAUGUACAGGAUGGGGGUGAUGAUCCCACUUCUCUGACUCUCACCCAGAAGUUAGGAACUCCUUAAGCACUGGGCCCAGCUGACUACAGUUCCACAGGAAAAGGGGCUGUCUUAGUCACUUUUCAUCCACAUAGCUGCUAAGUUCAUGAGGGGACCCAGCUACGGGCUUUAACUGCUGGUAUGGCUGCCUAUCUGAGUGUGUGAGCUCUGACUCCAGACUAUAAUGCUCUCAUUGUCAGAGUGGAGGAUUAUCUACUCUAGAUGCCACAGUACUGAGUACAAUGUCAGGGAAAAAGGAAAAAAAACAGGUGUACUUUACUUUCUUUUUAAUGAAUCUGCUAGGGUUUGCAUGUGGCCCCCAAAGUUUAUGUGUUGGAAAGUUAAUCCCCAAUGCAAUAGUAUUGACAGGAGGCAUCUUUAAUAGGUUACGAUGAGUGGAUUAAUGUCAUGAGUGAAUUAAUGUCCUAGCUCAGGAGUGGGUUUCUCUUAAAGUAAGUUUGUCCCUCUCUUGCACUCUCUCACUCUGCCCUCACUUGCCCUCAGCCUUCUGCCAUGGGAUGAUGCAGUAAGAAGGCCCUCACCAGAUGCCACUGCCAUGCUCUUGUGUUUUCCAGCCCCCAGAACCAUAGGCCAAUGAAUUUCUAUGAUUUAUAAAUGAGCUAUCUCAGGUGUUCU